UGCCUUCACUACAGUAAGUCGCUCUGGAUAAGAGUGUCUGCUAAAUGACUAAAA
Non-coding RNA from Salmo salar (Atlantic salmon), 54 nucleotides. Lineage: Eukaryota; Metazoa; Chordata; Actinopteri; Salmoniformes; Salmonidae. The record is from Rfam.